This 2902-nucleotide ribosomal RNA is filed under the name Solanum pimpinellifolium. RNAcentral describes it as "bacterial LSU rRNA". It matches the Rfam family "Bacterial large subunit ribosomal RNA". Lineage: Eukaryota; Viridiplantae; Streptophyta; Magnoliopsida; Solanales; Solanaceae. The record is from RNAcentral.
UUUAUUAAUGUUAGAAUACGCUAUGUUUUGUCCAAAAACAAAUGGCACUAACUCAUAUAUCAGGAUGAGAUAGGUGUAUUCCAGUUAUGGUUGGAAAAAUCUUGGAAUAACAUUUCCAACGCAACCAAGUCUUCAUAAUUUCAAGUUCGUAUGAGUAAGUUAUUCCCUUUGGAAUUUGGUUGUUUUGAAUAAGGAAAUGUCCAAUAGGGAUUUUAGAAGGGUAGUUUGGGUUUUUCCUUAUCGUUUUAUUUUAAUUUUUAUAGUAAUUAUUUAGUGGUCAAACUGAACUUAUUUAGUUUAUGCAUUAGAAAAACAGACAUAGGAUUUUUUGAGAAAGCAUCACUAGCUUAUGCUCUGAUUCGAGUAGCAUGGGGCACGUGGAAUCGCCUGUGAAUCAACAAGAACCACCUUGCAAGGCUUAAUACUCUUGGGUGACAUAUAGCGAAGUAGUACCGUGUGGGAAGGGUGAAAAUAACACCCAUUAGGGAGUUAAAUAAAACAUUAAACCGUAAGUUCCCAAGUAGUGGGACAAGCCAGGGCUAUGACCAUGUGCGUGUUGAAGAAUUAGACAACUACUCAUAGGUUGUAUCUUUGUUAAGGGAACCACCGGAGCCGUAGCUAAAGCGAGUCUUCAUAAGGCAAUGGUCACUACUUAUAGACCUGAAUCUGGGUGAUCUAUCCAUGAUGAGGAUGAAGCUUGUGUGAAACUAAGUGGAGGUCCAAACCAACUGAUAUCGAAGAAUCAGCGGAUCAGUUGUGUUUAGAGGUCAAAUGCCACUUGAACCCAGAGCUAGCUAGGUUCUCCCCAAAAUGUGUUGAGGCGCAACAUUUAGCUUGAUAUCUAGGGGUAAAGCAUUGUUUUGGUGUGGGCCGCGAAUGUGCUACGAAAUCCAGGGAAAAUGUGAAUACUAGAUGUGAUCUAAAAUAACACGGUCAAGGUCGUCUAGUGAGAUGAUGGGGGAUAAGCUUCAUCAUCGAAAGGCAAACAGCAUCGAUUACUAGGUAGGACCCAUAAAUGACUACUUAGUGACAAAGGAGGUAGGGUUGUAGAGACAACCAAGAGGUUUUCUAGAAAGAGUGUGUAAUAGAUCACUGAUCGAGCGCUCUUGCACUGAAGAUGAGCUGGGCUAAGAGGUAUGCCGAAGCUGUGGAUGUAAAAAUACGUCGUUAGGGUAGCACUCCCCCUUAGAAAAAAUUCUUCCCUCGAUCUGUGGUUGAGGAAGCGAAAGCGAGAUUUUUACUUCGGUGACGUAAACAUUGGUGAGAAUCCAAUGCUCUAAAAAGCUAAGGGUUUCUCUGCAUGGUUCGUCCAUGGACGGUGAGCCAGGGCCUAAGAUAAGGCCUAAACACAUAGUCGAUGGACAACAGGUGAAUAUUCCUAUACUACCCCUUGUUCGUCUUGAGGAACGGAGAGGAGUAGGUUAUCGAAAAGCUGGUUAUCGGUUCAAGAACGUAAGCUGUCCCUGCUUUUUUAGAGUAAGAAGGGACAUAAAAAAUGCGUCGAGCCAAUAUUCCAAUACCAGGCGCUACGUCACUAAAGUAACUCUUUUCAUACUCCUUUAAAAUCUCAAAAGACAUUAAUCAAGAGGGUACCUGUACCAAAAAUUGACACAGGUGGGUAGAUAGACAAUACAUACGGGCAGGAGACAAGUCUCUCAAAGGAACUCGGAAAAUAUCCACGUAACUCAGGGAGAAGGGGUGCCUCCUAACAAAGGGGGCGUAGUGACUAGGACCAAGCGAAUGUUUAUAAAAAUAACAUGUCUCCACAAUGUUGAAAAACAAUGUAUGGGGUUGUCACCUACCAAGUGACGGAAAGAGAAGAAUGUUGGUUACUUGAUGAAAGGGGAGUCGGCGACCGAAGACACGGUCCAAGGCGGUGGUAACUAUAACGGUCCUAAGAUAGAGAAAUUCCUUGUUAGGUAAGUUCAAUCAUACACGAAAGAUGUAAAAAUCUAGUCACGGUCUAGGAGAGAGGCUCGGUGAAAUAGACACGUUUGUGAAGAUGCGACCUACCUACACCAGGAUAGAAAGACCCUGUGAAGCUUCAAUUUUCACUAAGAUAGGAUUUGGGCCUUUCGCGUGCAACAUAGGUGGAAGGCAAAGAAAUCCUCCAUUCGGGGGGCUUCCAACCAUCAGUUAGAUAGCACUCUAUAAGGGAUAAAAUUCUAACCUCAUGCAAGGACCUACGAAGGGACAGUCAUAGGUAGACACUUUCUAUGAAGAGUUGGUCUCCCAAAAGGUAACGGAGGCAUGCAAAGGUUUUCUCAAUCCGGAAAGAGAUUGACCCUCGAGUACAAAGAAAGAAAUGAUCUUGGCUGCAAGACCCACAUGUCGAGCGAGGACAAAAGUUGGCCUUAGUUAUCCAACAGUUCCGAGUGGAAGGUCCGUCGCUUAAUAGAUAAAAGUUACUCUAGGGAUAAUAGGCUUAUCUUUCCCAAGAACUCACAUCGACGGGAAGGUUUUGCACCUCAUUGUCGUCUCUUCGCCACCUGGGGUUGUAGUAUGUUCAAAGGGUUGGGCUGUUUUCCCACUAAAGCAGUACGUGAGCUAGGUUCAGAAUGUCAUGACACAGUUCGGUCCAUAUCUAGUGUGGGUGUUAGAGCAUUGAGAGGACCUUUCCCUAGUACGAGAGGACCAAAAAGGAGGCACUUAUGGUGUACCAGUUAUCCUUCCCAUGUAAACUCUUGGUAGUCAAGUGCAAAACGAAUAACUGUUGAAAGCAUCUAAGUAGUAAGCCAACCCCAAGAUCAUUGUUCUCUUAUUCUUACAUCCCCAUAGCUUCCUGUAGGAGCGCCAAGAUAGCAAAGGGUUCUCUGGCCUUGCGAGUAUGGAGGGACAAGAUUUCUUUGGAGAAUUCAAGAGAAGGUCACAGUGAGAGGAGUCAUUUAACAUUACGAUAGAU